This 918-nucleotide long non-coding RNA is filed under the name Brassica napus (rape). Its description in RNAcentral is "long non-coding RNA (BNAP_LNC015270)". Lineage: Eukaryota; Viridiplantae; Streptophyta; Magnoliopsida; Brassicales; Brassicaceae. The record is from RNAcentral.
UAGACAUAGGUUGACCCACCGGCCAACAAUCAAACAAGAACAUGACCGACGGACGACCCACAACAAGGGUUGGAGAUGAAAGGCCAACCGCCCAGCCAACAAUCAAACAAGAACAUGACUGACCGUCCAACCCAACACCAUGGUCCGAAAGCGCUAUGUGACGGGCUAGGGAUGAUUCGGUCAGAGUCACAAAAAUUACUCCAUGACCUAGACAAGUUCAUCCACUAAGUGGUGCCACUGCGUCAAGGCACAAGGCUUUGCAACCCGUACCUAGAGUUAGCGUUUUCCGUUAGAUCGAGGCCUAAGGCUUUUCAACCUGUAUAACGACCUAACGUUGUGUUAGACCGGACUAGUCAAAUAUCAGAGUACUCAUGAAGUGCAUAUAAAACAAUUACUUUUAUUGAUUUAGGAAAUAUUCAUACAUUGAAUAAUUCAAGACUGAGCCCGGCCUAAUGCCAAAUCGAGUCAACUAAACACAAUCUCAAUAUAUACCGUUUACAAAAGGCAUGAAAUCUACACCGGCGGUCCUAACGUCCAGCACCAAGGUAUCCGAUCAUCAGUACUCAUGUAGUGUUAAGACACUUAGACUAAACAAGUACCAUUAACCGGUCGACCAACAAUCAGACAAGAACAUGAUCGGCCAACCAAUGAUACCGCAUAGCUUUAAUAUCCACCACCCUUCACAAGCAAUCCCUCAAACACAUACAUGCCAACGUCAAACCUACACUAACCAAAUACACACCAAGCCUAAUCUGGUACCUAAGCCAGACUUAGGACUUAAUGUCAUAACCUGCAAGCAAAUCAAUCAACCACAAUCACAAUAAUAACUAUGAGUAACUAUGACUCGAUCUAAGUCGUACCACCGUAUAUCGGUGCUAUAUUUACUCAAGGGUUCAGUAACCCUCUACGACACUCUAC